This 73-nucleotide transfer RNA is filed under the name Bos taurus (domestic cattle). It matches the Rfam family "tRNA". Rfam says of the family: Transfer RNA (tRNA) molecules are approximately 80 nucleotides in length. Their secondary structure includes four short double-helical elements and three loops (D, anti-codon, and T loops). RNAcentral also lists the same sequence under 1 other name. Lineage: Eukaryota; Metazoa; Chordata; Mammalia; Artiodactyla; Bovidae. The record is from Rfam by way of RNAcentral.
UCCUUGGCGGUACAGUGGUUAGGACUCUGCGUUUCCAAUGCAGGGGGUCUGGGUUCGAUCCCUAGUCUGGGAA